AAGAAACGACACCAUUCAUCCAUACCACUUUCUUUGUUACAUUCAGCUAUAACAAUCAGGUAUCUUUAUAGCUAUAACAUUCAGAUAUGUAUCAGUAAAUCGUAUCUUCCAUAGCUAUGUAUCUGUAUACCUAUGUAUCUGACAACAUGAGUAUAGGUAUAAUUCAGGACAGGUGAAGCAUAAAGUUACAAAAUAACAAACAGAAAAAUACAGAAAACUACAUGUUUUCUUCCUCGAUUUGUAAAUACAUGUGUUCCUCCUCGAUGCAGGGCACGGCCGAGACAACUUUGCGCUGCUCCUUGCUUCCUGCAAUGUGACCACGCCCUGCCCUAGAUACCUGUGUUCCAACUAUUACGAAACGAAUAUGUUAGACAUCAGCUUGCUUGUUUCUUUGAUUCUUCGGUGGAGAGAAACCAGAGAAUCGGUGUGCACAAAUGUCAGCCAAGGAGUAGACCUUAAUCACGCACGUGAGAGGGGAGGAGGUUCCUGGGGAUGAGCAGCCAGCCAUGGAGGCAAUAACAGGAAGGGUGGCCGUCGCCUGUGCAUCGCCUAGACAUAGCUUGGGGGAGGCUCUCUUCCUCUCGUCUGCAUCUCUUUGCUGAUGAAAUCAUGAAAGCAUAUGAUAAAUAAAUUUUAAGAAAAUAAAACAUUUCUAGACUUGAAUCCAGCGGUAAACCUACAUAUGCCAGUAGCAGGAAACCACAUGAACCGAUGCCUUGACUGCAUACCACACACCCGUGAGUGGGGAAUCAAACCAGAAAAAAAAUCAUGAGAGGUGACACAAGCGCAACACACCAACGAUGGCCGCCGCCGGAGUGGAUCGGAGAAGGGGAUGAGCCUACGGGCUGGGUGCUCCGCCCAUCGCGCUGUUUGUCGACCACGGCAGAGAUCGGGAUCCUUCUUUCUCGGCUUGGCUAUCAUCAACAACAUUAUAGUGGAACCUAAAUCUUAUAAAGUAGUAAUUCAUGGAUACUUCUGUUUUGUCACACAAACCUCUGCUUUAUAGGCAUCAAAAAACUAUAGAUACUAGUCCACAAAAUGCCUCGAGUUCCAUCCUAAUAUAUCUUCUUCAUUGGUUACACAUCAUCUUCCUCAACUAUGAGGCGGCCUUGCUUUUUACCAACCUAGAUAACCUGGAAUUAAUCAAUGAAAGCAUCAGUCAAUUGAAGCUUGAUAAUCACAUAAUGCAUGACUACUUUGAAGCAAAGGUUAAGUAACUACAGAUUAGAACAUAUCAAGCUUGACCUAUACUUUUUAACUAAUAAUCACUUUACCGGCCUCCAUGACAUAAACUGACAUGGCAUAAUGACAUAAUAACAUACUUUUUUUCUUUCUAAAUUGCAUAAUUGAAAAGAAGCAUGAACUACAAGCAAAAAAAAGAACCAAGCAUUACAUAUUAGGCAGAGCAUGUGACAUUCAUUGGCAAGCAUGCUAGUACCUUUGGGAACCAAGCAUUACAUAUUAGGCAGAGCAUGUGACAUUCAUUGGCAAGCAUGCUAGUACCUUUGGACCGCCUAUAGGUAUACUCCUGUGGGCGCUGGCUGGUGGCCGACAUUAUCAUGAGAUCAUAACAUUCUUCUCUUUUGUUUCUCAUUUUCGCUUUCAUUUUAUUUCUCUUCCCUGCACAAUUAGCAUGCUCUCACACUUCCUCUAUCAAUGACAAGGCAGCUCUCCUGUGCACCAUCUAUGCUCCUGCCCUAUGUUUAUUUUUUUGUUAAAGAGAAACUUAUUGUGUUAGCGAGAGAGAUAGAACUGCCUUAUGGACCUUCAAUUAAUCAUGCAAAAGCAAGAUAAUAGGUCAAAAGAAGCACAUGUCCCAGCAGUUGUCACUCAAUUUAUAUAUAAUCUGUGAGAAAUUAUGCUGCUUAAUUUUGGAUUUGCAAAGUGUAAGCUUUUCACAUCUGUAGGUGUAGCAGGUAAUAGCUCUGAACCAAAUUGGAAAAAACUGAAGAUUGAAUCAAUUCUAUGCCUCACAAUUUCUAUGAACUCUACAUAGCCAUCGUUUAAACACCACAUGGAUAAAAAAAUAUGAACUGAACUUGACAAAAUAAAAAAAUCAGAACCUUUCUAUGGCUGGCCAUCGAUCGCCAUAUAGGGCAAGGUAAGUAGGCAUACACGUACAAGAAAGCAAACAAGAUUGAUUAAUACUUCAGUUUAACUUCAAGUGGUUGAGUUAGGACUUAGGAGGGUUUAGUAAGCAAUAAAAAUACAUCAGUUUAACAUCAAGACCUUAUACGUACCCUGUGACAGAAAUCAAAAGAAUAUACAUUGAUCUUUCAUUCAGUGGCACAAAGUAGAGAGCAGCAUGUGGAACCUCUGUACAGGAAGUAAAAUUACCUGAACACCAAUCUUUAUCUAACAGUUCUCAAUUCUGUAAACUCCAUCAUACUGCACACCUGAUUCAGGAGCAUAUGAGCAACGCUUCUAUUUGUGGGACCUUUAUAAGAUAGUGUAGUCAAAUGUAAGUCCACAAACAAGAUAGUGCAGAACAAUAGAUGGCCUCCAUAUAUGCUAAAAAAAUUGUACCAAUGAAAAGCAAAUCAUGGAAAACAAUAACAGGCAUCGUUAACACAGUUGAGCUAACAGCAUGAUUCCUUCAUAUCAUCCACUCAUCAAAUGCUGAUAUUUUCUGAAAUAUUUAUGGCAAGAAGAACAUACGACACAACCCUUACAGGAUAAAUACGUUCAGAGCAAUCUAGAUUUGAUGAGAUGUGCACGGGGGGUAGGAAGCUCACCACGCCCACGUGAGGGGGGCAGGGUAGGAGGAAGCAGAGCCAUGAGGGAGGGAGGGAGGGCUCGUGCGUUCGGUCGUCCAGCUGCUGCUGCAGCUGCAGGUCGUGUGUCCAGAUCCGGGGCAGUCAUC
Molecule: long non-coding RNA, 2863 nt
Filed under: Triticum aestivum (bread wheat)
Lineage: Eukaryota; Viridiplantae; Streptophyta; Magnoliopsida; Poales; Poaceae
Description: long non-coding RNA (TAES_LNC016086)
Source: RNAcentral